GAUGAACGCUGGCGGCGUGCUCAACACAUGCAAGUCGAACGAACCUUCGGGUGAGUGGCGGACGGGUGAGUAACGCGUGGGAAUCUGCCCUCAGGAGGGGGAUAACGGCUGGAAACGGCCGCUAAUACCCCAUAUGCCGAGAGGUGAAAUGAAUUUCGCCUGAGGAUGAGCCCGCGUCUGAUUAGCUAGUUGGUGAGGUAAGAGCUCACCAAGGCAUCGAUCAGUAGCUGGUCUGAGAGGAUGAUCAGCCACACUGGGACUGAGACACGGCCCAGACUCCUACGGGAGGCAGCAGUGGGGAAUUUUCCGCAAUGGGCGAAAGCCUGACGGAGCAACGCCGCGUGAGGGAUGAAGGCCUCUGGGCUGUAAACCUCUUUUCUCAAGGAAGAAGAUCUGACGGUACUUGAGGAAUAAGCCACGGCUAAUUCCGUGCCAGCAGCCGCGGUAAUACGGGAGUGGCAAGCGUUAUCCGGAAUUAUUGGGCGUAAAGCGUCCGCAGGCGGCCCUUCAAGUCUGCUGUUAAAACGUGGAGCUUAACUCCAUCAUGGCAGUGGAAACUGUUGGGCUUGAGUGUGGUAGGGGCAGAGGGAAUUCCCGGUGUAGCGGUGAAAUGCGUAGAUAUCGGGAAGAACACCAGUGGCGAAGGCGCUCUGCUGGGCCAUAACUGACGCUCAUGGACGAAAGCCAGGGGAGCGAAAGGGAUUAGAUACCCCUGUAGUCCUGGCCGUAAACGAUGAACACUAGGUGUCGGGGGAAUCGACCCCCUCGGUGUCGUAGCCAACGCGUUAAGUGUUCCGCCUGGGGAGUACGCACGCAAGUGUGAAACUCAAAGGAAUUGACGGGGGCCCGCACAAGCGGUGGAGUAAUGUGGUUUAAUUCGAUGCAACGCGAAGAACCUUACCAGGGUUUGACAUCCUGCGAACCUCUUGGAAACGAGAGGG
RNAcentral lists this ribosomal RNA (941 nucleotides) under uncultured bacterium. Its description in RNAcentral is "bacterial SSU rRNA". It matches the Rfam family "Bacterial small subunit ribosomal RNA", at positions 28 to 1014 of the family's 1533-position model. The record is from RNAcentral.